RNAcentral lists this ribosomal RNA (427 nucleotides) under uncultured cyanobacterium. RNAcentral's name for it is "bacterial SSU rRNA". It matches the Rfam family "Bacterial small subunit ribosomal RNA", at positions 356 to 795 of the family's 1533-position model. The record is from RNAcentral. Lineage: Bacteria; Bacillati; Cyanobacteriota.
GGGGAAUUUUCCGCAAUGGGCGAAAGCCUGACAGAGCAAUACCGCGUGAGGGAAGAAGGCUUACUGAGUUGUAAACCUCUGUUACCUAAGGAGGAAGAUCUGACGUUACUUAGGAGACGAAGCAUCGGCUAACUCCGUGCCAGCAGCCGCGGUAAGACGGAGGAUGCAAGUGUUAUCCGGAAUUACUGGGCGUAAAGCAUCUGCAGGUGGUUUCUUAAGUCCACUGUUAAACCUUGAGGCUCAACCUCAAUUCAGCAUUGGAAACUGGGAAACUUGAGUAUAGUAGGGGUAGAGGGAAUUUCCAGUGGAGCGGUGAAAUGCGUAGAUAUUGGAAAGAACACCGAUGGCGAAGGCACUCUACUAGGCUAUUACUGACACUCAGAGACGAAAGCUAGGGGAGCAAAUGGGAUUAGAUACCCCUGUAGUC